GACGAGGGGUCCAAGCGUUGUUCGGAAUUAUUGGGCGUAAAGAGCUCGUAGGUGGCCUGUCGCGUCGGCUGUGAAAACUCGGGGCUCAACUCCGAGCUUGCAGUCGAUACGGGCAGGCUAGAGUUCGGCAGGGGAGACUGGAAUUCCUGGUGUAGCGGUGAAAUGCGCAGAUAUCAGGAGGAACACCGGUGGCGAAGGCGGGUCUCUGGACCGAUACUGACACUGAGGAGCGAAAGCGUGGGGAGCGAACAGG
This 253-nucleotide ribosomal RNA is filed under the name uncultured bacterium. RNAcentral describes it as "partial 16S ribosomal RNA". It matches the Rfam family "Bacterial small subunit ribosomal RNA", at positions 524 to 776 of the family's 1533-position model. The record is from RNAcentral.